GACGAACGCUGGCGGCGUGCUUAACACAUGCAAGUCGAACGGAAAGGCCCUGCUUUUGUGGGGUGCUCGAGUGGCGAACGGGUGAGUAACACGUGAGUAACCUGCCCUUGACUUUGGGAUAACUUCAGGAAACUGGGGCUAAUACCGGAUAGGAGCUCCUGCUGCAUGGUGGGGGUUGGAAAGUUUCGGCGGUUGGGGAUGGACUCGCGGCUUAUCAGCUUGUUGGUGGGGUAGUGGCUUACCAAGGCUUUGACGGGUAGCCGGCCUGAGAGGGUGACCGGCCACAUUGGGACUGAGAUACGGCCCAGACUCCUACGGGAGGCAGCAGUGGGGAAUAUUGCACAAUGGGCGGAAGCCUGAUGCAGCAACGCCGCGUGCGGGAUGACGGCCUUCGGGUUGUAAACCGCUUUCGCCUGUGACGAAGCGUGAGUGACGGUAAUGGGUAAAGAAGCACCGGCUAACUACGUGCCAGCAGCCGCGGUGAUACGUAGGGUGCGAGCGUUGUCCGGAUUUAUUGGGCGUAAAAGGGCUCGUAGGUGGUUGAUCGCGUCGGAAGUGUAAUCUUGGGGCUUAACCCUGAGCGUGCUUUCGAUACGGGUUGACUUGAGGAAGGUAGGGGAGAAUGGAAUUCCUGGUGGAGCGGUGGAAUGCGCAGAUAUCAGGAGGAACACCAGUGGCGAAGGCGGUUCUCUGGGCCUUUCCUGACGCUGAGGAGCGAAAGCGUGGGGAGCGAACAGGCUUAGAUACCCUGGUAGUCCACGCUGUAAACGGUGGGUACUAGGCGUGGGGUCCAUUCCACGGGUUCCGUGCCGUAGCUAACGCUUUAAGUACCCCGCCUGGGGAGUACGGCCGCAAGGCUAAAACUCAAAGGAAUUGACGGGGCCCCGCACAAGCGGCGGAGCAUGCGGAUUAAUUCGAUGCAACGCGUAGAACCUUACCUGGGUUUGACAUGGAUCGGGAGUGCUCAGAGAUGGGUGUGCCUCUUUUGGGGUCGGUUCACAGGUGGUGCAUGGCUGUCGUCAGCUCGUGUCGUGAGAUGUUGGGUUAAGUCCCGCAACGAGCGCAACCCUUGUUCACUGUUGCCAGCACGUUAUGGUGGGGACUCAGUGGAGACCGCCGGGGUCAACUCGGAGGAAGGUGGGGAUGACGUCAAGUCAUCAUGCCCCUUAUGUCCAGGGCUUCACGCAUGCUACAAUGGCUGGUACAGAGAGUGGCGAGCCUGUGAGGGUGAGCGAAUCUCGGAAAGCCGGUCUCAGUUCGGAUUGGGGUCUGCAACUCGACCUCAUGAAGUCGGAGUCGCUAGUAAUCGCAGAUCAGCAACGCUGCGGUGAAUACGUUCCCGGGGCU
This 1347-nucleotide ribosomal RNA is filed under the name uncultured bacterium. Its description in RNAcentral is "partial 16S ribosomal RNA". It matches the Rfam family "Bacterial small subunit ribosomal RNA", at positions 28 to 1381 of the family's 1533-position model. The record is from RNAcentral.